ACUUGCAGAGCUUGUCAGGAUAACCAGAAUAGCAACAGAUAAUCAAAAUGGCAAAAUUCCCCUUCUUCCUUUACCUGCUGCAGCUGGUUUGAGGGGUCUUCUGGGACAGUCUCUGAGACAGAAGAGCUUGUUCUUCUUCUUGAAUUUGACUUGAUUGCUUUCAUGCAGAACUAAUUGCCAUGUUUUCACAGGAGAAAGAAGGCAACGAGGCCACGCAAAGCCAGACCCAGGAGCACACUAUCAGAUUUUGUAGCUGUUUCCAGGCUCCAUCAGAAUACAAAAGGAGGCAAAUUACUGAAGGCUGUGCUGACAGAGUUCGAGAAGUUUGGGAAAUUGUCAUUAGCAAAACUCAGGCAGGAAAGCCACCUCAUCUUCAAACGAGCUGCUAGGAGAUACAGCUGACCAGAGAAUUAACUCUGCCCAGGACUGAUGCCAC
Onychostruthus taczanowskii (white-rumped snowfinch) is the source of this 436-nucleotide long non-coding RNA. RefSeq lists it as uncharacterized. The transcript is spliced from 4 exons. The record is from RefSeq and is a predicted model, not a curated record. NCBI's taxonomy places the organism in Eukaryota, Metazoa, Chordata, Aves, Passeriformes, Passeridae.